This 449-nucleotide ribosomal RNA is filed under the name uncultured bacterium. RNAcentral describes it as "partial 16S ribosomal RNA". It matches the Rfam family "Bacterial small subunit ribosomal RNA", at positions 29 to 523 of the family's 1533-position model. The record is from RNAcentral.
AGCGAACGCUGGCGGCAGGCCUAACACAUGCAAGUCGAGCGCCGUAGCAAUACGGAGCGGCAGACGGGAGAGUAACACGUGGGAACGUGCCCUUCAGUUCGGAACAACCCAGGGAAACUUGGGCUAAUACCGGAUACGUCCGUAAGGAGAGGGAUUUAUCGCUGAAGGACCGGCCCGCGUCUGAUUAGCUAGUUGGUGAGGUAACGGCUCACCAAGGCGAUGAUCAGUAGCUGGUCUGAGAGGACGAUCAGCCUCACUGGGACUGAGACACGGCCCAGACUCCUACGGGAGGCAGCAGUGGGGAAUAUUGGACAAUGGGCGCAAGCCUGAUCCAGCCAUGCCGCGUGGGUGAUGAAGGCCCUAGGGUUGUAAAGCCCUUUCGGCGGGGAAGAUAAUGACGGUACCCGCAGAAGAAGCCCCGGCUAACUUCGUGCCAGCCGCCGCAGUAA